CCCUUAGAUGUUCUGGGCCGCACGCGCGCUACACUGACGGAGCCAACGAGUCUUUUCCUUGUCCGGAAGGACUGGGUAAUCUUGUGAAACUUCGUCGUGCUGGGGAUAGAGCAUUGCAAUUAUUGCUCUUCAACGGGGAAUUCCUAGUAAGCGUGAGUCAUCAGCUCGCGUUGAUUACGUCCCUGCCCUUUGUACACACCGCCCGUCGCACCUACCGAUUGAAUGGUCCGGUGAAAUCUUCGGAUUGAGACUUUGAUUUCUUCACGGAAAACGCUGUUUUAAAAAGUUGAUUAAACCUUACCAUUUAGUGGAAGGUGAAGUCGUAACA
RNAcentral lists this ribosomal RNA (328 nucleotides) under uncultured eukaryote. RNAcentral describes it as "partial 18S ribosomal RNA". It matches the Rfam family "Eukaryotic small subunit ribosomal RNA", at positions 1470 to 1796 of the family's 1831-position model. The record is from RNAcentral.